CAGAAAUUUUAUUCAAACAGUUUUAUUUGUAUUUCAUUUUUAUUUUCUUAAUGCAGUUUUCAACAGUUCAACAGUUCCCUUUAGAGACACCGUUUCUUCACUUGUUUGUUUGUAUAUUGUUCUAGUGCUGUGUGUGUGUGUGUGUGUGUGUGUGUGUGUGUGUGUGCGUGUGUGCGUGUGUGCGUGCGCUUUACACAAAUAAGGCAGAAAAUUACAGUUAAUAAUUUUUUUUAAACGCUGCACAAAAACAAACACACUAAAAUGAUAAAUAAACGCUAUAUAAAUGAUAUAACGUUAACUCUUACACACUAAGUGCUGAUGUUGUGUAGUUGUUUUACUUUUAUAAUAAAUGACUGAACAUUUAGUUACUUAACAUAACAAAUUAUCGUCGAACGCAUCGAGUCGUUGGAAUCGGCUCUGCUUUCGAUCGGUCUCAAAUCCUGACACGGAAAUAUCAUUAAUAUCCGAUGUGUUACUUAUUUUUAUCCGUAGUGUGGGGAUUUCACCUUUUAAUCCAGAUGUUCCCAGAUGAAAAGAACUGCAGUAUUUAUAGUAAUGAGAUAAUCGUGUCUGGAGCGAGAGGUUUACCGCUGUUUAAAGGUCAGAGGUGUUGGCUGCGGUCGGUGCAGGAAAGACGGGGAUGAAAUGCUCGUGUAAUCAGUUUCUGAAGUCAGUUCACUUCCUUUUCUUACGGAACAAGACGCUCAAGUACAAAAAUGUUCCGAUUGGAAUUGUCCGGUGUUCCGAGUGCAUUGUCUUUGUGCGUGUUUAGUUUCUCCAUCACGUUCAUGCACGAGCGCGGCGUAACGUAUCCCCCCCAAUGUUCAAAUUCAGCAAAAAGCUUUAAUAUCGGAACAUCGUGUGUAAGCCAAGGUACGCGGGAACGCGCUAAGCUAGCUAAAUUACUAUAAAUAAAGUAACGUUUUGGAUCAUUUGUGUUUCUGAUGUUUACGCGAUCUAAAAUAAUCAUGUAACUAACACUGGCCGUUAUAUAUAGGUUCGUUAAUAUGCGGACGCAUUGAAUAUUCAAACGAUUGCGAUUCGAACGCGUGUUUUUCCAAAAGGAGGACUAAAACUCGUUACCGAGUCGUAGCUUGGACUUCACACUCGGAACGUUGGGAAGUUGUCCUGCAGCUCCACUUUUCAAUAGGAUUAACAUCAUUGCUUUUUUUUGUUUUUUUUUUGCUUUUUUGCUUUUUUAAAUCAAUCAACACGCAGAUGCUUUCACUGAUCGAAUCUAGAACGUUAAUGUUAAAGGUCACGCGCACCACUAGCAUUAGCUGGAUAGCUUGUUGCUAACAAAAGACAAGGUUAAAUUUCCUUGAAAAUGACGAUUCAGAGGUCAGUUGAACGUGGAAUACGAUAGCGCUCAAGUUUUUUCCCCCCGCAGAGAGUGGCGUGCGUAACGGUGACGCUUCUCCAAGACGUUUCAGCCUGUUAGAUGUUAAUGUUGAAAAUUAUUUUGUCGUUACUUAGCUAUACUGUACAUCUGAUAUCGCAUAACAAGGAACGUUCUACUUAAGUAACGAUACUUUCUUAUUUAUACUGAAGUCUAUUAUUGUAAGUAAAGUAAAGUUAAAUCACAAUCACUAAGCUAUAUUGAUAUUAAUAUAUGUAAUAUUUCUGUUGCUUGUUAGCUGGAGAUAUUUUUUCCUCGUUAAAGCUCGGGUCAGUAACGUAUCGCGUGAAUAUUCUCGUUGAACUCGUUGUCCUCUAGCUCAGGUACGUGUUGUUGAUGUCGAUGCUGUUGCUGCUCUUCAGGCUCAGAGUCUCUAAGGAAUCCUGAUGGCAGGCGUGAGGGAACACGGCCGACUUCCUGUGCCGGGAUUUCCCGCUGCGAUCUUCCCCGUCCUCGUCCUCGUCGGCGCUGGACGUGUUUUCCGUCGACCUCUUCAGUCCAGCUCGGUGGCGCUGUAGAUCUCGCUGUAGGACGAGUACUCGAUGUCCUCCACGCAUGGAGGCUCGUCGUCCUCGAAGCAGCUGUG
Long non-coding RNA from Ictalurus punctatus (channel catfish), 1985 nucleotides. Lineage: Eukaryota; Metazoa; Chordata; Actinopteri; Siluriformes; Ictaluridae. The record is from Ensembl.